AGAGUUUAUGGGGGAUACCUUGGCAUUCAGAAGCGAUGAAGGACGUGGCUACCGACGAAACGCUUCGGGGAGCUGGAAACAAGCUAAGAUCCGGAGGUGUCCGAAUGAGGCAACUCAAAAACUACUUAUUGAAUACAUAAAUAAGAAAGAGCAAACCUAGGGAAUUGAAACAUCUUAGUACCUAGAGGAAUAGAAAGUAAAAACGAUUCCCUGAGUAGCGGCGAGCGAAACGGGAUUAGCCUAAACUUAAUUAUAAAUUAAGGGUAGUGGGACAAUAAUAACGAAUUAAAUGGAACAAUUAGAGGAAUAAGUUUGGAAUACUUAACUAUAGAGAGUGAUAGUCUCGUACUCGAAAAUUGAAACAAUCAAAUUGAAUCCCAAGUAGCAUGGGGCACGUGAAAUCCCGUGUGAAUCUGCGAGGACCACCUCGUAAGGCUAAAUAUUCCUGAAUGACCGAUAGUGAAAUAGUACCGUGAGGGAAAGGUGAAAAGAACCCCGGGAGGGGAGUGAAAAGAACAUGAAACCAUAAACUUACAAGCAGUAGGAGGACGACUAAAACGUCUGACUGCGUGCCUGUUGAAGAAUGAGCCGGCGACUUAUAGUUAGUGGCAGGUUAAAGUAGUGAAUACUGAAGCCACAGUGAAAGCGAGCCUGAAUAGGGCGUUUGUCACUAGUUAUAGACCCGAACCUGGAUGAUCUAACCAUGGUCAGGUUGAAGCUUAGGUAAUACUAAGUGGAGGACCGAACCGACUGAUGUUGAAAAAUCAGCGGAUGAAUUGUGGUUAGGGGUGAAAUGCCAAUCGAAUCCGGAGCUAGCUGGUUCUCCCCGAAAUGCGUUUAGGCGCAGCGAUAAAUGUUUAAACUUAGGGGUAAAGCACUGUUACGUAUGCGGGCUGGUAAUUCGGUACCAAAUCGUUGCAAACUAAGAAUACUAAGUGUACAGUUUAUCAGUGAGACUGUGGGGGAUAAGCUUCAUUGUCAAGAGGGAAACAGCCCAGAGCACCAGUUAAGGCCCCUAAAUAAUUACUAAGUGAUAAAGGAGGUGGGAGUGCAUAGACAAUCAGGAGGUUUGCUUAGAAGCAGCAAUCCUUUAAAGAGUGCGUAAUAGCUCACUGAUCGAGUAAACCUGCGCCGAAAAUGUAUGGGACUAAGUAAUUUGCCGAAACUGUGCGAUAUAUAUUUAUAUAUCGGUAGGGGAGCGUUCUGUUGUAGGUCGAAGUAUUAGCGUAAGCGGAUAUGGACGAAGCAGAAGUGAGAAUGUCGGCUUGAGUAACGAAAAUAUAGGUGAGAAUCCUAUACCCCGAAAACCCAAGGUUUCCUCCGGAAGGCUCGUCCGCGGAGGGUUAGUCAGGGCCUAAGGUGAGGCUGAAAAGCGUAGUCGAUGGACAACGGGUUAAUAUUCCCGUACCAUUUUUUAUUGAUAUCGAGGGACGGAGAAGGCUAAGCUAGCCGGAUAUUGGUUUUACCGGUUUAAACGUUCGAGAUGUUGAGAAGCGGAGAAAACGCUUUGAGUUGAGACGUGAAUACGAGACGCUAAGGCGUCGAAGUAGUGUAUGUCAUACUUCCAAGAAAAGCUUGCACUGUCAUAAAUAAAAAAUGCCUGUACCAUAACCGACACAGGUGGGUAGGUAGAGUAUACUAAGGGGCGCGAGAUAACUCUCUCUAAGGAACUCGGCAAAAUAACUCCGUAACUUCGGGAGAAGGAGUGCCUUAUUUAUAAGGUUGCAAUAACAAGAUCCAAGCAACUGUUUAUCAAAAACACAGGUCUCCGCUAAGUCGUAAGACGAUGUAUGGGGGCUGACGCCUGCCCAGUGCCAGAAGGUUAAAGAAGUUGGUUAGCAAUUGCGAAGCUGAUAACUGAAGCCCUGGUGAACGGCGGCCGUAACUAUAACGGUCCUAAGGUAGCGAAAUUCCUUGUCGGGUAAGUUCCGACCCGCACGAAAGGCGUAACGAUUUGGGCACUGUCUCAACAAGAGACUCGAUGAAAUCUUAGUACCGGUGAAGAUGCCGGUUACCCGCGACAGGACGGAAAGACCCCGUGGAGCUUUACUGUAGCUUGAUAUUGAUGUUUGUUAUGUGAUGUACAGAAUAGGUGGGAGACUUUGAACCCGGAACGCUAGUUUCGGGGGAGUCAUCUUUGGGAUACCACCCUUCGCAUAUUGAAUUUCUAACCCACCGGUGUGUAGCCGGGGGGACAGUGUCUGGCAGACAGUUUGACUGGGGCGGUCGCCUCCUAAAGAGUAACGGAGGCGCACAAAGGUACACUCAGAAUGGUUGGAAAUCAUUCGAAGAGCGUAAAGGUAUAAGUGUGCUUGACUGUGAGACAUACAGGUCGAACAGGUACGAAAGUAGGUCUUAGUGAACUGCCAUUUCUGAAUGGAAAGGAUGGCAAUCAACGGAUAAAAGUUACCCCGGGGAUAACAGGCUGAUUCCUCCCAAGAGUUCACAUCGACGGAGGAGUUUGGCACCUCGAUGUCGGCUCAUCACAUCCUGGAGCAGGAGCAUGUUCCAAGGGUUGGGCUGUUCGCCCAUUAAAGUGGUACGCGAGCUGGGUUCAGAACGUCGUGAGACAGUUCGGUCCCUAUCCGUCGUGGGCGUUGGGAAUUUGAGAGGAGCUGACCUUAGUACGAGAGGACCGGGUUGGACAUACCUCUGGUGCACCAGUUGGGCUGCCAGGCCCAUAGCUGGGUAGCUAUGUAUGGACGGGAUAAACGCUGAAAGCAUCUAAGCGUGAAGCCCCCCUCAAGAUGAGAUUCCCCAUUCGU
This 2765-nucleotide ribosomal RNA is filed under the name marine metagenome. Its description in RNAcentral is "bacterial LSU rRNA". It matches the Rfam family "Bacterial large subunit ribosomal RNA". The record is from RNAcentral.